GGAGGAAACAAGCUCAAGAUAGAGCUUGCAUAGUGAGCUCAAAACAGCAGUUGAAGACUACAAAUCCAACCAAGGUGGGAAGUUAGGAUUUGGUUAGAUUUGUAGUUGAAUCCUAAUUGAAUUAGGAUUAAUAUUUAAAUCUAUUGGAGGAUAAAUUAAGAUUUAAAUAUUAAUUAGAGUAGAAAUCUAAUUGGAUUAGGAUUUGGGUAGUUUUUUAUGUAAGCUAAUAUAUAGCAUAUGUGCUAUUAUUGUGGUGGUGGUGGUACGGAUUAGCCACACCUAUAUGGCAUGGCCAAGGUGGUCAUGAUUUUGGAUGCACCUAAUGCAUGGGUGCAAGAGGAUGCGAGCGACUUUCAUAGUCGGUGGUCAUUGAUAUACCUUGUGCACGGGUGCACAGAAUGUGUGAGAUGUCUUCUAAGACUAUAGAAGACGAGAAAAGGGUAGGAGAGAUUCAGAAAGAGGGCUCGGGGUUUUAGUUACUCUGUUACAGAAGAGUAGUCAGCUUUUGCUAAGGAGACGGGUUUAUGGUAAAAACCAGAUUGGAUGCUUCCGUU
Molecule: long non-coding RNA, 554 nt
Filed under: Ananas comosus (pineapple)
Lineage: Eukaryota; Viridiplantae; Streptophyta; Magnoliopsida; Poales; Bromeliaceae
Description: long non-coding RNA (ACOM_LNC013825)
Source: RNAcentral